Strongylocentrotus purpuratus (purple sea urchin) is the source of this 827-nucleotide long non-coding RNA. RefSeq lists it as uncharacterized. The transcript has 4 exons. The record is from RefSeq and is a predicted model, not a curated record. Lineage: Eukaryota; Metazoa; Echinodermata; Echinoidea; Camarodonta; Strongylocentrotidae.
UCUCAUCCCUUGGUUUUAGUGCAUCUUUAGUGCAUCUUAAGGCUGGGGCGCGCGCCUCCGAAUUUCUGUAAUAAGCAAUUGCUACUGUAGUUCCUGGAGAUUAAGUAGCAUAUUUCACGGCCCAUCGUCAAGGCUUGAACUUACGGUGGCGGAAAUAAUUGCAUCUAUCUUCCUCAUGCAGGCGACAAUAAUGUGUUUCUGCUUUCGCGCUUCGCUUUGCCUUAUACGUGGCGGAUUCUUGACGCUUUAAACACCUAUUGAGCAACAUUGGUAACAACUUGUAUCCGAUAUUGUGCUGUAUCACUUUCGAGGAAUACCCCGGUUGAUUGUGGGAUUCAAUUAACUUUUUGGAUGGUCAUCUUCGAAUACUGAUACAGAAAGAGAAGCGAGUGAUAUUGAAAUAUUAGUCAACUGUGGAAUCACACUCGUUUGCAGGACGAUGGCUGCCAUGGCUGUGUCUCUGUACAUCUUGGUCGCUCAUGUAUGUUUUCAUCUGAAUCUCGCAGCAGCUAGGUUCAUGUGUGCAGAGCCUAAACACCAAGUCUUAAGUGUAGCCGAAGGAACUCCAAUCACUUUACCGUGUAUCUAUAAAAACAUCAGCACCAGCUCCAACGUCUAUUGGUAUGCCGGCGUUACUACCUUAUAUGCAAACGAGGAGCCUAUAACCAUAUCGGAAAAAUAUUCGCUCGAUUACCAGAAAGUUAGCCCUGCUUUAACAAAAAGCUCGAACCUAACGAUUCUCUCCGCGCACAGAAAUGAUCCACUAAAUUACACGUGUCAAGCCAGAGUGGGGAGUUGCAGAAAACAGGAGAUUUUUACUGUCAUCG